This 449-nucleotide ribosomal RNA is filed under the name uncultured bacterium. Its description in RNAcentral is "bacterial SSU rRNA". It matches the Rfam family "Bacterial small subunit ribosomal RNA", at positions 46 to 507 of the family's 1533-position model. The record is from RNAcentral.
GCCUAACACAUGCAAGUCGAACGAGCGAGAGAGAGCUUGCUUUCUCGAGCGAGUGGCGAACGGGUGAGUAACGCGUGAGGAACCUGCCUCAAAGAGGGGGGGCAACAGUUGGAAACGACUGCUAAUACCGCAUAAGCCCACGGCUCGGCAUCGAGCAGAGGGAAAAGGAGCAAUCCGCUUUGAGAUGGCCUCGCGUCCGAUUAGCUGGUUGGUGAGGUAAUGGCCCACCAAGGCGACGAUCGGUAGCCGGACUGAGAGGUUGAACGGCCACAUUGGGACUGAGACACGGCCCAGACUCCUACGGGAGGCAGCAGUGGGGAAUAUUGCACAAUGGGGGAAACCCUGAUGCAGCGACGCCGCGUGGAGGAAGAAGGUCUUCGGAUUGUAAACUCCUGUUGUUGGGGAAGAUAAUGACGGUACCCAACAAGGAAGUGACGGCUAAUUACGUG